Molecule: ribosomal RNA, 292 nt
Filed under: uncultured bacterium
Lineage: Bacteria
Description: partial 16S ribosomal RNA
Rfam family: Archaeal small subunit ribosomal RNA
Source: RNAcentral
GUGUCAGCAGCCGCGGUAAUACCCGCGGCCCGAGUGGUGCUCAUUAUUAUUGAGUCUAAAACGUCCGUAGCCGGUCGGGUAGAUUCCUGGGUAAAUCGAAUCGCUCAACGAUUCGAAUUCCGGGGAGACCGCCUGACUAGGGACCGGGAGAGGCGCGAGGUACUCCUGGGGUAGGGGUAAAAUCCUGUAAUCCUGGGAGGACCACCAGUGGCGAAGGCGUCGCGCUAGAACGGAUCCGACGGUCAGGGACGAAGCCCAGGGGCGCAAACGGGAUUAGAAACCCCGGUAGUCC